GAUGAACGCUGGCGGCGUGCCUAACACAUGCAAGUCGAACGGACGGACGAGUAGCUUGUUGGUGGGAUGUGAGGGGCGGCGGGGGGAGUAACACGAGGAGAAUAUCCUUAUCAGACUGGGAUAAUAUCGGGAAACCGGAGCUGCUACCGGAGGAUAUUUUGAACCGCAUGGAUGAUGGGUAAGGGACGGUUUUGGUGUCGGUUGUGGAUGGACCCGCGCUGUAUUAGCUAGUUGGUGGGGUAACGGCUUACCAAGGCAACGAUGCAUAGCCGACCGGCGAGGGGGGUCGGCCGCACUGGAACGGAUACGCGGGCCAGACGCCUACGGGAGGCAGCAGUAGGGAAGCUUCCGCAAUGGGCGAAAGCCUGACGGAGCAACGCCGCGUGAGUGAGGAAGGUCUCCGGAUCGUAAAACUCUGUUAUUAGGGAAGAACAAAUGUGUAAGUAACUGUGCACAUCUUGACGGUACCUAAUCAGAAAGCCACGGCUAACUACGUG
Molecule: ribosomal RNA, 497 nt
Filed under: uncultured bacterium
Lineage: Bacteria
Description: partial 16S ribosomal RNA
Rfam family: Bacterial small subunit ribosomal RNA
Source: RNAcentral